RNAcentral lists this ribosomal RNA (578 nucleotides) under Vitreoporus dichrous. RNAcentral describes it as "partial 28S ribosomal RNA". It matches the Rfam family "Eukaryotic large subunit ribosomal RNA", at positions 73 to 634 of the family's 3401-position model. Lineage: Eukaryota; Fungi; Basidiomycota; Agaricomycetes; Polyporales; Irpicaceae. The record is from RNAcentral.
GAUUCCCCUAGUAACUGCGAGUGAAGCGGGAAAAGCUCAAAUUUAAAAUCUGGCAGUCUUUGAUUGUCCGAGUUGUAGUCUAGAGAAGCAUUUUCCGCGCUGGACCGUGUACAAGUCUCUUGGAAUAGAGCGUCAUAGAGGGUGAGAAUCCCGUCCAUGACACGGACUACCAGUGCUUUGUGAUGUGCUCUCAAAGAGUCGAGUUGUUUGGGAAUGCAGCUCAAAAUGGGUGGUAAAUUCCAUCUAAAGCUAAAUAUUGGCGAGAGACCGAUAGCGAACAAGUACCGUGAGGGAAAGAUGAAAAGCACUUUGGAAAGAGAGUUAAACAGUACGUGAAAUUGCUGAAAGGGAAACGAUUGAAGUCAGUCGCGUUAUUCAGAACUCAGCCUUACCUCGGUAUGGUGCAUUUUCUGUUUAACGGGCCAGCAUCAGUUUCGAUCGCCGGAAAAAGGUUAGAGAAAUGUGGCACCUUCGGGUGUGUUAUAGUCUCUAAUUGUAUACGGUGGUUGGGACUGAGGAACUCAGUACACCUUUAUGGUCGGGGUUCGCCCACGUUUGUACUUAGGAUGCUGGCGUAA